RNAcentral lists this ribosomal RNA (301 nucleotides) under uncultured bacterium. Its description in RNAcentral is "partial 16S ribosomal RNA". It matches the Rfam family "Bacterial small subunit ribosomal RNA", at positions 509 to 808 of the family's 1533-position model. The record is from RNAcentral.
CAGUAGCCACGGUAAUACGUAGGUGGCAAGCGUUGUCCGGAAUUAUUGGGCGUAAAGCGCGCGCAGGCGGAUCAGUCAGUCUGUCUUAAAAGUUCGGGGCUUAACCCCGUGAUGGGAUGGAAACUGCUGAUCUAGAAUAUCGGAGAGGAAAGUGGAAUUCCUAGUGUAGCGGUGAAAUGCGUAGAUAUUGGGAAGAACACCAGUGGCGAAGGCGACUUUCUGGACGAAAACUGACGCUGAGGCGCGAAAGCCAGGGGAGCGAACGGGAUUAGAUACCCCAGUAGUCCCUGUCUCUUAUACC